Long non-coding RNA from Jatropha curcas, 713 nucleotides. RefSeq lists it as uncharacterized. NCBI's taxonomy places the organism in Eukaryota, Viridiplantae, Streptophyta, Magnoliopsida, Malpighiales, Euphorbiaceae. The record is from RefSeq and is a predicted model, not a curated record.
UUUCCCUUCUUCCCUGCGUCUGCGUCGAGCUCAGCCAGCAUCAGCAGAGACGCAAGCCACCUCCACAAGCUCAGCCAGUCGCACCACCUCCAUCACACGCCAGCAUCGUCUCUCUGCUCCUCCGCGCGCCACAGCCAGUAGCUCUGCUCUCUGCCAGAUCGCGUAGCGCACGGCAGCAGCACGAUCUCCACCUUGUCGCGCCACCACCGUUGCCCUGCUGCUCCGCCACUGCUCUGCCACAACAGAUCGCGCCUCUACCGACGUCACAACAGCUUUGCCGCUGCUCCAGUGCAUCUACGACCACCGCUUCACAGUUCCAGCGUGUGUACUUCGAUCCGACACGCGUAAGAAUUCCCGAUCUAGCGAAAAUUCGACAAAAGAUUAUAUUUUGGGAUCGCUCGAGUCCAUCUAGUGCUCCUCCUGGACAGAAUCAAAGCUAGAACUUCGCUCUCCAUCACUGUACUAGGAAGUUGCCGGUUCGACUGAAGCUCUGCACUCUUCUUCGCAGAGUCAUAAAUGUAAAAGUUAUAUUCCUGUUAUUUAAUUUGGAUUGUAUAAAUUAUUUUUUUUAUCUGAUUAUUAGUGAACUCCGUAGUUAUAGGGUUGUGUAUUAAUAUUGGACUUAUUGUUAGCACUACACUAUAAAUUGAAUAUUAUGUAAUUAGCUGCAGGUGAACCAAUAAGCCCAUAAUGUGAUUAUAAUUUAUUGUGAA